RNAcentral lists this transfer RNA (69 nucleotides) under Opsarius caudiocellatus. Its description in RNAcentral is "tRNA-Ser". The record is from RNAcentral. Lineage: Eukaryota; Metazoa; Chordata; Actinopteri; Cypriniformes; Danionidae.
AAGGAGGAGCAAGAGAACAGCAGGCACUGCUAAUGCUUGUUACCAGGGUUAAACUCCCUGGCUUCCUAG